UUAGGUAAAAUCAAUGUAGAUACUACACUUUGGAAAUGGAACCCACGUAAAAUGGUGGGACAUACAUUGAUUUCAUCCAA
This 80-nucleotide microRNA precursor is filed under the name Medicago truncatula (barrel medic). RNAcentral describes it as "MIR5269 microRNA precursor family". It matches the Rfam family "MIR5269 microRNA precursor family". Lineage: Eukaryota; Viridiplantae; Streptophyta; Magnoliopsida; Fabales; Fabaceae. The record is from Rfam by way of RNAcentral.